This 200-nucleotide unclassified non-coding RNA is filed under the name Melitaea cinxia (Glanville fritillary). RNAcentral describes it as "misc RNA ENSMCXG00005006372.1". The record is from RNAcentral. Lineage: Eukaryota; Metazoa; Arthropoda; Insecta; Lepidoptera; Nymphalidae.
UAUUGUUACAUCAGAACUUUUGACCGGGUAGACCGAUUUCGACAAAUUUUGUUUUAAUCGAAAGGUGGUGUGUGCCAAUUGGUCCCAUUUAAAUUUAUUUGAGAUAUAACAACUACUUUUCGAGUUAUAUCUAAUAAUGCGUUUUUACUUGACGCUUUUUUCGUCGACCUACGUUGUAUUACUUGUCGAUGUAAUUGAAG